UAUAUACAUAUAUAUAUAUAUAUACCACUUGCAACAAUAGAAGAUGAAGAAUGGGAAAUACAUUGCAAUUUGAUUUUUUAGGUUUAAAUAUAAAGCUAUCAAAUAACACCAUAUCGGUCAUUUAUCCAACAAAUAUUCACCAAGUAUAUAAUCGUUCAAACUGGUUCGAAAAUACAUAUAUGCAUGCAUACCCAUCUCUAAGCAGAGGAAGGGGUAACAAGAGCAGGAGAAUCAGAUUGUGCAGCCAUGGAAAGUUCAAGUUGCCUUAGACAAGCAGGAGGCUGAAGAGAGAGCAACUCUGGAGAAAUGAGAUUGUCCCAGCCUUGAAUUGGGUUGUUAUUUUCUGAACCAUCCCAUCCUAUAUGUGUCACAUGCUUCACAUCUGUUGGAAGCCCUAUUUCCAUUUCUGGUUCUUCCAUUUCUUCUCCGUAUACAAAUAAUUGAGAGAAGGUCUUGAAACCCUUGACAAGCCUAUGAAACCGAUCCGAUAUGUUAGGCUUUGAAAGAGCAAGAAAUUUCAAUCCAUUCUUCAUACUAUCAGUGCUUGAUAAGCUUUCCUCGUCUUCUUCUUUUCUUCUUAUUGAAGAUGGGUUUGUGUGAUGGGGAGCUGGUGGGUGCUUGGUUCUUCUGGGGUUGUGCACCCCAAUAGCCACACUUGAUUCAGAGACACAACCAAUGGAGAAAGGAAGGAGAACAAGCCUUUCCAUUCUAUCUCUCAUUUCUUCAUCAACAAUCAAGCAAAAGAAAAGAAAAUUAAAGGGAUUAAAGCAUAUGUGAAGUGGACUGAGAAACAAAAACAAAAAGCUAGAUUAUAGGGUAGUUGAGGAAAGACUAAUAGACAACCCUAGAACUGGAUUGGAGUUUGUUAUAUUGGGUGGUGUGGGCGUG
This 888-nucleotide unclassified non-coding RNA is filed under the name Hevea brasiliensis (rubber tree). Lineage: Eukaryota; Viridiplantae; Streptophyta; Magnoliopsida; Malpighiales; Euphorbiaceae. The record is from RNAcentral.